Balaenoptera ricei (Rice's whale) is the source of this 825-nucleotide long non-coding RNA. RefSeq lists it as uncharacterized. The transcript is spliced from 5 exons. NCBI's taxonomy places the organism in Eukaryota, Metazoa, Chordata, Mammalia, Artiodactyla, Balaenopteridae. The record is from RefSeq and is a predicted model, not a curated record.
UGCUCUUUCACAUUGCACAUGCGUGAGCACCAGGCAGGCCACGAGGCACUUUAUGUGUCAGGGUCAACAGGUUGGCGUGUGGCUGUGAUGCGAAUCACCCUGAAAACCCAUUUGGGCUGCUCACCUCUGGCUGGGAGGCAGGCCCCCUGAGGGCCUCGGCGAGCAAAUGCAACCCCACACGAAGACAAGACAUUAAAGGGACUCCUGAGGACCCAGCAUUACUGACGGCCUAUUCAAGUCAGAGGAAAUCAAUAGCUCUCUAGAAAGGGCUUUGGAGAAGAAACAAGUGUCCAUGAAGAAAAAGGAAAAACACAUACUUGCUCUCCGUGAGUGAGGCUGACGUCUCAUCAGUGGCUGACAGGCCAGCACUCUGCUAAGCCAGCGAGGACUCUCCUGGGCCUCCCAGGACCUUUAUCUGGAAUCUGCGUGCUGGCGUUCGCCCCAGUGACCUCGUGUGGCUUGUGUCAUGAGCUGAUGAUACCUGAGUUCAGUCCCCCUUUGUUAAGGGCCUUCUAUAUGCUGUCCUGAGCGGGGCACUGAGAGAGGCUGCACUUGGCAGAGAGGCACAAGAGAGACCAUUUGGUGCUGACUCCAGUGACUGUGGCCCCCAAGGUUACACGAGAUACCGAGUGCCGCCUUCUUGUAGGCUGUUCCCCCUCACCCCCAAUUCACAUAUUGAAGUCCUAACCCCCAGUACCUAAGAAUGUGACUGGAUUUGGAGAUAAGACCUUUAAAGAGACAGGUACAGAGAAAAGACCAUGUGAAGAUAUAGGGAGAAGAUGGCCAUCUAUAAGCCAACGAGAGAGGCUUCGGGAGAAACCAACA